AGGAACCUUCUAUUUCCGUUAUAGGGAGACUCAGCAGCAGUGAUUUUCAGUUCCGUUUUUAAUCUUUUCAUUUUGUGAAGAUGGCAGUAUAUUACCUACGCAUAUUUCUUCUUUUUCUUCUGACCUUCAAAACAGGGUUCAGUGCUGAGAUCUCUGUGUUUGUGCAGACGGGAGAUUCUGUUCAACUGGAUAUACAGACACAGAAACUACCAGAGUUUGAUCUUUUAACCUGGAGAAAUGAUAAAUCAGAGAAUGUAGUUAAAUAUAUAAGUGAAACUAAAGUCGUAAAACCUCUCAAUUCCUACAAAGACAGAGUGGAUUUCAAUGAUACAACCUUCUCUCUCACACUGAAGAACAUGCAGAAGACAGACAGUGGACUCUAUACAGCAAUAGCAAGUGGAGAUUCAGAGAACAAUAUUGCUACAUACAGAGUAUCUGUUAUAGACGCUGUGGAGGCUCCUGUUCUGACUGUAAACUCAAACUGGUCCAGCAGUGACUCCUGUACUGUAAUCUUCACAUGCAGAGCUCAUGACCUCAUGAUAAACUCUAGCUAUCAGAACAACAGAUGUAUUGCACAGGAAGUGACAUCACAAAUCAACACUCUAAACCUGAACUGCAAUGAGGAAUCCAUCAUCUGUAACCAUAGCAACCCAGUUAGCUGGAAAAAAGACAGAAUAAACAUUACACCGCUCUGUGUCAAUAAUAAAGAAAACAACUCAAGUGACAUCAAGACUGAGCCACCCUUCCAGUUAUGGACAUAUAUUUUGGGGGCAGUGUGUCUUUUUGGGGGAAUUGCAUUAUAGUCUUUCUCUAUUGCAAGUGUAAAAAAGGUGCCCAAGAGGCUGAAAGUACAGUCUAUGCUCAAGUUGAGACUCAAGAAAUGCAGAAAACCAACAGUGACGGUCAUACAUAUGAUGUUCCAGAACGGGUACAGGAUCAGACGCAGGAGCAAACGGGAGAUAAUCGACCCAACACAACCUACAGCACAGUAGGACAACACCAAAAACCUGCAGUCCCUGUCGAAACAGACCAUACUAUUUAUUCAACAGUGUGCAAACAACCAACCAAGAAACCACCCACCAUUUCAUCUGAUGAUGCAUAACAUGAAACUGUGUUUGUCACAUGGGGAAGUUUCACAAGGGCUGAUCUCAAAAUGGCAUCCUACUCUUACUAUCUCUGUCAUAUCGGCAUAUGGUAGAAAUAAUAAGAAAAAGUAUUCUAUCCUAUUC
This is an RNA transcript of Rhinichthys klamathensis goyatoka, 1229 nucleotides long. It is a transcript of the gene named CD48 antigen-like, with no coding region annotated. The transcript has 7 exons. The record is from RefSeq and is a predicted model, not a curated record. NCBI's taxonomy places the organism in Eukaryota, Metazoa, Chordata, Actinopteri, Cypriniformes, Leuciscidae.